Molecule: unclassified non-coding RNA, 100 nt
Organism: Cavia aperea (Brazilian guinea pig)
Lineage: Eukaryota; Metazoa; Chordata; Mammalia; Rodentia; Caviidae
Gene: Vault
Rfam family: Vault RNA
About the family: This family of RNAs are found as part of the enigmatic vault ribonucleoprotein complex. The complex consists of a major vault protein (MVP), two minor vault proteins (VPARP and TEP1), and several small untranslated RNA molecules.
Source: Ensembl
GGGCUGGCUUUAGACCAGCAGUUCCUUCGAGUCUGGCUUCCCAACCGCCUGGUCGAUUAGUCCCAUGGUUCGAGACCUGCGGGCACUCUCAAGUCCUUUU